UACGGAGGGAGCAAGCGUUGUUCGGAUUUACUGGGCGUAAAGGGUACGUAGGCGGCAUAGUAAGUGGGAUGUGAAAUCUCCGGGCUCAACCUGGAAACUGCAUUCCAUACUGCUAAGCUAGAAUAUCGGAGAGGCAAAUGGAAUUCUCGGUGUAAGGGUGAAAUCUGCAGAUAUCGAGAAGAACACCAAUGGCGAAGGCAAUUUGCUGGACGAAUAUUGACGCUGAGGUACGAAAGCUAGGGUAGCGAACGGG
RNAcentral lists this ribosomal RNA (253 nucleotides) under uncultured bacterium. RNAcentral's name for it is "partial 16S ribosomal RNA". It matches the Rfam family "Bacterial small subunit ribosomal RNA", at positions 524 to 776 of the family's 1533-position model. The record is from RNAcentral.